This is an RNA transcript of Xyrauchen texanus (razorback sucker), 3422 nucleotides long. It is a transcript of the gene named dachshund homolog 1-like, with no coding region annotated. NCBI's taxonomy places the organism in Eukaryota, Metazoa, Chordata, Actinopteri, Cypriniformes, Catostomidae. The transcript has 12 exons. The record is from RefSeq and is a predicted model, not a curated record.
UCCACAGAACAGAGCCACACUUUUCUGCUCAAUUUCUUCCUGUCAUUCUCUCUCAAUCUUUCGCAGAGUCCUAAUUUCUCCACGACACCACUCCUCGUGCACUCGCGCAUCGGCGUAGCCCUCUCCGGUGGAUUUCUUCUUCUUUGCGCUACUUUUGCAUACUGGUUCUCUUUCCAAUCUGAACUUAUUUCAUAGGUGCAGAACACCAUGGCCGUACCGGCUGCUCUGAUCCCCCCAUCGUCUCUGGUCCAGCCGUGUCCGAUCUCAACUUCAUCGUCAGCAUCAUCAGCAUCAUCAUCAUCAUUCUCCGUGAACGCCGCACCAUCAUCCUCGCCCACGGCCACUUCUGCGUCUCCCUCUCAGUCAGCGACCCAGAAUCUGUUCAGAUCGGAUCUGAUCAGCGCCAACUCCAGCAUCCCUCUACCCGGCAAGCCCGUGUACUCGACCCCAUCUCCUGUUGAAAACACCCCGCAGAAUAAUGAGUGCAGGAUGGUGGAGCUUAGGGGUGCCAAGGUGGCCUCUUUCACAGUGGAUGGACAGGAGCUCAUCUGUCUUCCCCAGGCGUUUGACCUGUUCCUCAAACACCUGGUUGGAGGACUGCACACCGUCUACACCAAACUCAAGCGGCUGGAGAUCACGCCCGUGGUGUGCAACGUGGAGCAGGUCCGCAUCCUGCGGGGACUGGGGGCCAUCCAGCCCGGGGUCAACCGCUGCAAACUCAUCUCCAGGAAAGACUUCGAAGUCCUCUACAAUGACUGCACCAAUGCCAGCUCAAGACCCGGGAGGCCUCCAAAACGGACCCAGAGUGUGACAUCGCCGGAGAACCCGCACAUCAUGCCACACUCGGUGCCGGGGCUCAUGUCUCCAGGAAUCAUUCCCCCCACAGGUCUGACAGCCGCCGCUGCAGCAGCUGCAGCUGCCACCAAUGCCGCCAUCGCCGAGGCCAUGAAGGUGAAGAAAAUCAAACUCGAGGUGAUGAGCAGCUACCACAGCAACCACACUCACCAUGGUGCAGACUCAGAGAAUGGAGAUCUCAGUUCCAGUGUGGGCUUGGAACUGCCAUUUAUGAUGAUGCCCCACCCCCUGAUCCCUGUCAGCCUGCCUCCUGCAUCCGUCACCAUGGCGAUGAGUCAGAUGAACCACCUCAGCACCAUCGCCAAUAUGGCUGCCGCAGCACAGGGACAGAGUGCCCCAUCCAGAAUGGUGACAUCAGUGAUUAAGGAGCGUGUCCCCGACAGUCCCUCCCCUGCCCCCUCUCUGGAAGAUGGCAGGAGGCCGGGGAGCCGACCCUCAUCCCAGCGCAGCAGCAGCGUCUCCAGCUCUCCCGCGCACACCGAGAGCUCUUCCGACAGAAUGCCUGUGCACCAGAACGGACUGUCUAGGAACCAGGCAUUACUGGGCCUGUCUCCCAGCAUCUUACCCGGACCUAAGGAGGGCGACCUGGCAACUCACGACAUUUGCCAUGAGGCCAAGAGAAUGCACCUGGAGAAAGAAGAAAAUCCCCUGUGCACGCCAACAGCGAGAGACAGCUAUGAGAGACUGUCACUGGCAAGUCAUGGUUUACCUCCAGGAUUCCCCUCACCUUUCCUCUUCCCUGAUGGACUGUCAUCUAUAGAGACACUCCUUACUAACAUUCAGGGUUUGCUGAAGGUGGCAAUUGAUAACGCCCGCGCUCAGGAGAAACAAGUGCAGUUGGAGAAGACGGAGCUGAAGAUGGAACUGUUUAGAGAGAGAGAGCUUAGAGAGACCCUGGAGAAACAACUGGCUGUUGAGCAGAAGAAUAGAGCUAUCAUUCAGAAGCGUUUGAAGAAAGAGAAGAAAGCGAAGAGGAAAUUGCAAGAAGCACUGGAGUACGAGUCAAAGCGACGUGAGCAGGCGGAGCAGUCCCUGAAACAAACGUCACCCACAGAAAAUCUCAGAUCACUCAAUGAUCUGCUUCUCGGUCAGAACCCGGCAGCAUCAAAUCUGUAUCAAAGCAUCAUAUCUAGCAAUAAUUCAAUGAAGACUUGGAAACAACUGAGUAAUACUCGUUGACCCAGGAGAUAGAGACUGACCGCAGUGGUGGCAGAACAGAUGCUGAGAGGACAAUACAAGCAGAUGGAAGACUUUUUCUGAAAACCACAGUGAUGUACUGAUUGCAUGCCGUUGAAGACUGGUGUCAUAUGAAGAUUUUCCCAAGUCCCCUUGCAGGGUAAUUUAGUUACAGCAACAGGUCAAUCGCUCGUAGAGGUGCAUCAAGGGUGUGUUCUUGGCCCGAUGUGGAAGACAGAUUGUUUCAGAAUGUAGUAUUAGGACUCUUAUCUCACAGAAAUUAAUGUUAUAAUAUGCCAGUUGUGGGAUUUGGAUAUCAUGAGUUUUCUGUUGUGAAGGUGACAAUUUGAGCACAGUAAAAUGUACCAUUUGGUACACAUGGUGAUAAUAUUUACAACAAACUCACAGCACUGAAGAAUUUUUAUACUGUAUUUAAACCAGCGAGAAAGCUUCGAAGAUAAAAUCUGAUACAGAGGUUUUGUUUUGUAUUAAAAAAAGAAAAAACAUAAGUCCUUAAUGUCAUAACUAUUUGCCAAGAUGUUAAAAAUCCAAGCUUGGAGAAGAGCCUCUGAAAUUUUUAAUUUGAAUAUAUGUUGAUGAACAAAAAUGACUAAUAUUUGCUUUUAAUGUUUUCUAAACUAGAAAAACAAUCAAGUUUCAUUUCUAUCAUUAUUGUAUAUACAAGAACAGAAACUAUAGGUUAAUUCACUCAAUUUGGUAUUUGUAUAUAAUGUUAAAAGUUGGUAUUGUGUAUGCAGUAGAUCUAUUAGGAGAACAAUACCAAUGUUUAUAUUGAAUUUAUACAUUUGUUUUGUUUCUGAGCCAUCAUUCUUUCAAUUCGCUGCCACUAUGGUGAGGAAGCAUGUAGGCAUGUAAAUGUGUUGUCCUGAUUUUAUGUUAUUCAAUAAAUACUUAACUGUGCUGAACAAUUACGUACUUAGGGUUUAUUCACUUAUACCCAGAAAAUGUUGAUGAACAGUAUCAUUUUAACUGCUAGAUUUUCAGUUUGCAGUGAGAUGAAUCUUAACUAUGUAUGCAUUUAUUUAAGCUGCAGUUUAUGAAGAAGUUGUAUAGAUCUUUAUGUAUAAUCUGGUGUAUCCCCCUUUAAACGACAAGUGCUCAUUGUGUAAAAAUAUAUUUUCACAGCAGUGCAACAUACUACCUUCUUUAAGUAAUGGGGAAAAAAGGAAUAGCUUGAGUUAAAAAGGUAAAGUGCAUUUUUUCAUUUAAUAGUAUAAGAUAUUGAUUUGUUUUAAUCACUUGCUGAAUUGUAGUAAUCCUAGUUUAAAAUUGUUAUUUCCAACAAGAUUAGAUACUUAUAUAUAUAUAUAUAUAUAUACUUAUUAUAUAUUUCACUAGAUAUUUCAGUCUAGACUUGUUAGCAACACAUC